Molecule: ribosomal RNA, 324 nt
Filed under: uncultured eukaryote
Lineage: Eukaryota
Description: partial 18S ribosomal RNA
Rfam family: Eukaryotic small subunit ribosomal RNA
Source: RNAcentral
CCCUUAGAUGUUCUGGGCCGCACGCGCGCUACACUGACGGAGUCAACGAGUUGUCCUGCAUCGGAAGGUGUGGGUAAUCUUUUGAAACUUCGUCGUGCUGGGGAUAGAUCUUUGCAAUUUUCGAUCUUGAACGAGGAAUUCCUAGUAAGCGUGAUUCAUCAGAUCGCGUUGAUUACGUCCCUGCCCUUUGUGCACACCGCCCGUCGUUACUACCGAUUGAAUGGUUUAGUGAGGCCUCGGGACUGGCGCGCUCGAGUAGCAAUACACCUGCGCGCCGGGAACUUGGUCAAACUUGAUCAUUUAGAGGAAGUAAAAGUCGUAACA